GACGAACGCUGGCGGCGUGCCUAAUACAUGCAAGUAGAACGCUGAAGGAGGAGCUUGCUCUUCUGGAUGAGUUGCGAACGGGUGAGUAACGCGUAGGUAACCUGCCUGGUAGCGGGGAUAACUAUUGGAAACGAUAGCUAAUACCGCAUAAUAGUAGAUGUUGCAUGAUAUUUACUUAAAAGGUGCAAUUGCACCACUACCAGAUGGACCUGCGUUGUAUUAGCUAGUUGGUGGGGUAACGGCUCACCAAGGCGACGAUACAUAGCCGACCUGAGAGGGUGAUCGGCCACACUGGGACUGAGACACGGCCCAGACUCCUACGGGAGGCAGCAGUAGGGAAUCUUCGGCAAUAGACGAAAGUCUGACCGAGCAACGCCGCGUGAGUGAAGAAGGUUUUCGGAUCGUAAAGCUCUGUUGUAAGAGAAGAACGAGUGUGAGAGUGGAAAGUUCACACUGUGACGGUAUCUUACCAGAAAGGGACGGCUAACUACGUG
This 494-nucleotide ribosomal RNA is filed under the name uncultured bacterium. Its description in RNAcentral is "partial 16S ribosomal RNA". It matches the Rfam family "Bacterial small subunit ribosomal RNA", at positions 28 to 507 of the family's 1533-position model. The record is from RNAcentral.